This is a small nuclear RNA of Lemur catta (Ring-tailed lemur), 105 nucleotides long. Lineage: Eukaryota; Metazoa; Chordata; Mammalia; Primates; Lemuridae. The record is from RefSeq and is a predicted model, not a curated record.
GUGCUAGCUUCGGCAGCACAUACACUAAAAUUGGAACGAUACAGAGAGCAUGGCCCCUGCGCAAGGAUGACACAAAUUUUUUAAUUAAAAAAAACUCAACUAUUU